GUGCCAGCCGCCGCGGUAAUACGGAGGGGGCUAGCGUUGUUCGGAAUUACUGGGCGUAAAGCGCACGUAGGCGGCUUGGUAAGUUAGAGGUGAAAGCCUGGAGCUCAACUCCAGAAUUGCCUUUAAGACUGCCGAGCUAGCAGGUGAGAGAGGUAAGUGGAAUUCCGAGUGUAGAGGUGAAAUUCGUAGAUAUUCGGAAGAACACCAGUGGCGAAGGCGGCUUACUGGCUCAUACUGGACGCUGAGGUGCGAAAGCGUGGGGAGCAAACAGGAUUAGAAACCCUAGUAGUCC
RNAcentral lists this ribosomal RNA (292 nucleotides) under uncultured bacterium. RNAcentral's name for it is "partial 16S ribosomal RNA". It matches the Rfam family "Bacterial small subunit ribosomal RNA", at positions 505 to 796 of the family's 1533-position model. The record is from RNAcentral.